CCAGUCUCAUGUUGAAGAUUUUUAUGUAGAAGGCCUUCCCAAAGGAAUUUUUUUUUUUUUUUUUUUUUUUUUUGAGAUGGAGUUUUCGCUCUUAUCGCCCAGGCUGGGGUGCAAUGGUGCAACCUUGCUGGUCACUGCAACCUCUGCCUCCUGGGUUCAGGAAAUUCUCCUGCCUUAGCCUCCCAAGUCGCUGGGAUUACAGGUGCCCACCACCACACCAGGCUAAUUUUUGUAUUUUUAGUGGAGAUGGGGUUUCACCAUGUUGGCCAGACCAGUCUUGAACUCCUGACGUCAAGUGAUCUUCCCGCCUCGGCCUCCCAGAGUGCUGAGAUUACAGACAUGAACCCAUGCCUGGCCAGGAAUUUUGUUUUUUAGGAAGGCUUUCUACUAAUGGAAUUCCUGGCCUUGAGAGGAUAUUACUUUCGAAGGAAAGGAUUUUUUUGUUAUUAAAAGAGCCACCUAAGCUGAAGAUUCCCUUGAGAACAAGUACUGUCCUGUGGUUUCAUGGCCUUUCUUCCAUUUGUGGUUCUUGUGAAGUGGAAUUUAAAU
This 549-nucleotide long non-coding RNA is filed under the name Homo sapiens (human). RNAcentral's name for it is "non-protein coding lnc-ADCY1-3:2". Lineage: Eukaryota; Metazoa; Chordata; Mammalia; Primates; Hominidae. The record is from RNAcentral.